AGCUCAGGCUGCCCAGGGCCGCAUCCAACCUGGCCCUGAACACCUCCAGGGAUGGGGCACCACAGCCUCUCUGGGCAGCCUGUGUCAGGGCCUUGCUGCCCUCCGAGUAAAGAAUUUCCCCCACAAGUCUAACCUCAAUCUACCCUCUUAAUUUAAAGCCAUUCCCUCUUACUCUAUCGCUAUCAGACUGUGUAAAAAGACAGACUCCCUCCCGUUCAUAGCUGCCAUCCUCCAGUUGUCUUCACUGGCUGUGUAAAUCAGUCUGUCAGGUAUCUCAGCUGCUCAAUUUGGUCUUCACAAUAUGUCCCCACACAGAUGGUGUACCUUGUGGCAGAUGAAGGUCUUCUUUGUUAAUUACUUAACUCUUCGAGCCCUUUGAUGCAAACAUCUCCAUCCACAAGCCAGAUCAGCGUCCUAACACGCCUUGCUGGUGCCGGAGUCAUAGAAUGAUUAGAAACAUAGAAAUCCCAAACUGGAAGGGUCCCACCAGGGUCAUUGAGCCCAGAUCCUGGCUUCACACAGCACCACCCAACAUUCAAAUCCUACGUCUGAGUGUGUUGUCCAGAUGAAUUCCAGUGCUCAGGGCCACGUCCUUGGGCAGCCCGUUCCGUGCACACUGCCCUGUGGUGCAGACCCUGUCCCCAACCCCCACUGCCCCUCCCCUGACACAGCUCCAUGCCGUUCCCUCGGGCCCUGUCGCUGUCACACAGAGCAGAGCUCAGCGCUGCCCCUCCGCUCCCUGUGAGGAGCUGCAGCCGCCAUUAGGCCUCCCCUCAGCUCCUCCUGGUCGUUCUGGGCCGAACAGACCUGGGGACCACAGCAGCUCCUCAUACAUCUUGACCUCCAUAGCCUUCACUAUCUCUGUAGCUCUCAUUUGGACACCCUCUAAUAGCUUUGUGUCCUUCUUGUAUUAUGGUACCCAAUGCUGCACACAGUCCUUCAGAUGAGGCUGCACCAGCACAGCGCAGAGGAGGACAAUCCCUUCCCUCAACCAACCGUCAGUGCAAGCCUGGAGGAAUCAUUGUCUUUCCACAGUGGACUACUUUCAGAUAUGUCUCGUCGCCAUCAGGGAUGUGUUCCCUUGAUCCUAAAAUCAUUUAAAUGAGUUUCAUUAUCAAAAGAGUAUCUGCUUUGAAUGAGGUUAUUUUAUUUAACACAUGUUGCUCUUUGUAGUUGUCCUAUCUUGGAACUGCAGCCUGUUUUUGUAAUAUUUAACUACAGCCUGUGUGAGUUGCCUGUUGCCUCUUAUUUUGUCUCCUGGUAUGCCACACUUCCUCACAUGACUCACAGCGAGAGCAGUGUUUUUUUAAUAUCUUGAGUAUUCGCUGUUUUGAUUGCAUUAGCCCCUAGAAGGACCCUGCUAUUUUAGCAGCUGUGUAAGUAAAUAGCAGUGGAAGCAGGGACAGGUACUCUGGGAGGAAUACAGCAAUGUUGCUUGUCUGUGUGGAGAUGGUGUCAAGAAGACCAAGGCUCAACUGAAAUGGGAUUUGGCAAGAGGUGCAAAGAAAAAUAAGAAAGACAGAUCUUUUAUCAAGGGUCUGUUUUGAUAGGAAAUGGUGGAAAUGGUUUCAAAUUAAAAGAGAGGAUACUUAAAUUGGAUACAAGAAUGAAGUUUUUUAUAAUAAGGGUGGUGAGACUGUAGAAUAGGUUACCCAGAGAGAAGGUGGAUGCCCCAUCGUUGGAGACACUCAAGGUCAGGCUGGAGGGGUCUCUGAGCAACCUAACCUAGAUGUAGGUGUCCCUGUUCAUUGCAGGGCAGUUGGAUUAGGUGACCUUUAAAGGUCCCUUCCAACUCAAAUGAUACUGUGGUGAUACUUUGAAUUUGCUCAUCUUCAAAACAAAAUACAUCCUUAGACCUAGACCAGCAUAACUGAUGAGCAAAAUAAUGCUGUCUAUCUGGCUUUACUUGACUUUACCAUUUAAAAUAAAUGCAUCUGCUUUAGUGAGGCUUGCAUAGUUUUUCUGCCAACUCCUCGGUAGCCAUUACAUGGUGGAGCUUGAUUAAAGGAAUGUGGAUUUCAAAAUCAUGUUCUCACACAUGUUCACUGAAACUGAAUGUGAAACAUUUAAGUAUGCCUGUCUGGAUUGCCUUCAUGCUAAUCAGUCACCGAGGGGAGCUGAUACAUCAUCUGUCCUCUAGCCAGCUAGGAAGCAUCACUCACACAUUUUGAGUUCACUAUUGGGCAAGACGGCUGUCCAUCAAAUGUGAAUAAUAGAUUGGAGGAGUUAAUGGUCUGUUCCAAGAUAUUUUAUGAACAGAAAAAUGUCCUACAUUUAUGGAAUCAAUUAUUCGCUAUGAACAAUUCUCCCAAUUUUUCUCAUUCAAAACACAGGGUAGUUAAAUACAUGCCAUUAUCCUCGCUUUUCUAGAUUCAUGGAUCGUAAGGCCAAGGGGGUAAUUAAGAUCAUCCAGGUUGACCUCUAGCUUAAUACAGGCUAAAAACUCUCUUCUGAUUAUUUCUGCAUGGAGACCAUCCUUUCUGCUUGAGCAACAGCACAUCCUUUAAGAAGACAGCUAAUUAUGAUUUGAAAGCAUCAUGUGCUACGGAAUCUGGUACAUCCCUUUGAGCUGUUUGUAUAAUUAGCCUUGUUGCCAACAUUUUUUAUCUUGGUUCUACUCUGAAUUUGUCCUGCUUCAGCUUUCAGCCACAGGAUCUUAUUAGAUCUUUACAUCACUAGAUUAGAGACCUGUUUGCCAUCAGAUACCCCUUUCAUAAUGGUGUUUGUGAGUCACCUUUUAUCUGCUCUUGAAUAAGCUAGCAACAAAGACUUUGUUGGCCUUUUACUAUACAGACACUUACUAUACAGACAGUAUAAAACUAUACUUUUACUAUACAAACAGUUGUCUAAUCUCAGAUUAUUCUUGCAGCUUCCAUCUGAAUGUUUACUGGCCUUUGCUUUUACGAGGCAAGCACAAAAUUUCCUUAGAACUGCCAAAAACCAUAGCUGGCAGUUCCCUCUGUGGGGAUGGCAUCCAGCCUUGCAGAGCUCUGAACUACACUUUAACUUGACAAGAAGGACUCUUCGGGUACACAGUUGAAAACUGCUGGUUGCUGAAACUCAGGUGAUGGUGAAUUGAGAGUCUGCUAUAUUCAAAGGCAGCAACACGUAAAUAUUUUACAGCUUAGAAACCCAGUUUCAUGAGGCUGCAGAAGAAUGCCAAAUUAUCUUGGAGAAAGAAUUUAACAUGCAAGAUAUCAUAAUGGUACAAGCAGUUUUGUUUCCUUACAUCUUUAAAAGUGAAUAAGAGAAGAAGAGAGGUUCAGCAAAGGAUGAGAAGAGUGAGCACAAAAACGGCCAAAAUAAUUUAGUUCAGUGAGCAAUUAAAUAGGCCAAAUUUUGUCAGCUUGGA
This is a long non-coding RNA of Gallus gallus (chicken), 3352 nucleotides long. RefSeq lists it as uncharacterized. The record is from RefSeq and is a predicted model, not a curated record. The transcript has 2 exons. NCBI's taxonomy places the organism in Eukaryota, Metazoa, Chordata, Aves, Galliformes, Phasianidae.